UUUGGGAGAAGCUUAGUUGUUCUUAUGACUUUAUUCACUGCACCGCCACAUACGGCAUGGAUGCCGGAUGAGUUGCAAACAGCCAUGGAUGGCUGAUUCUGCAACGGUGGCGAAAGUAGAAAUAACUUUUCAAGGUCAUUAGAACAACUUGCUUCGUACACC
This is a regulatory RNA element of Firmicutes bacterium CAG:882, 162 nucleotides long. The record is from Rfam. Lineage: Bacteria; Bacillati; Bacillota.